UACAGAGGGUGCAAGCGUUGUUCGGAAUUAUUGGGCGUAAAGGGAGUGUAGGCGGUUGGGCAAGUCUUCUGUGAAAUCUACGGGCUUAGCCUGUAACGUGCAGAGGAAACUGCUCGGCUUGAGUGUCGGAGAGGAUAGGGGAAUACCCGGUGUAGAGGUGAAAUUCGUAGAGACUGGGAAGAACACCAGUGGCGAAGGCGGCUACCUGGACAGGUACUGACGCUGAAGCGCGAAAGCUAGGGGAGCAAACAGG
This 253-nucleotide ribosomal RNA is filed under the name uncultured bacterium. RNAcentral's name for it is "partial 16S ribosomal RNA". It matches the Rfam family "Bacterial small subunit ribosomal RNA", at positions 524 to 776 of the family's 1533-position model. The record is from RNAcentral.